This is a long non-coding RNA of Sitophilus oryzae (rice weevil), 1361 nucleotides long. RefSeq lists it as uncharacterized. The transcript has 7 exons. Lineage: Eukaryota; Metazoa; Arthropoda; Insecta; Coleoptera; Curculionidae. The record is from RefSeq and is a predicted model, not a curated record.
UUUAAAGUAUUAGUAAUUUAUUAUUGUUACUAAAAUUAAAUUUAGUUUGUUCCUGCAUAAAUCUUUUUAGUACUAAACCGCUUUGGAAUGAAUUUUUUGGGGGGACAACAGCAGGAUUAGGGCCAUCUUCUAGAUGCCAUCAGGUAGGUGCGCUAGCGUAGUCGUUUGCUGUAGCAUUAUAUCCCUUUUCCCCCUUUUUAAAAAAUGUUUGUAAGACGCCUGAAAUUUGUAUAACUUAGUUAUAUAAGUAGUUGAAUAAGAAUUGGUGACUUGGAAAAUAGAAUAGGACAGAGAAGAUGGAAGAGGAUUGCUUUGAAAUAGAAGGAAAGGAGAUAGAAGAUGUUUGAGGAAAGGAGGAGGACUUUGUUCGCUGUAACGGAAGUUUUUUGAAUGAAAUUUGGAGCCACUGUAUUAAGAUGUUAUUGGUAUCUUGGACAUCAUGUUUCAUUUAUUUGUGUAUUAUACAAGAAUAUCUAUUGGUGGAAAUGUAGAAUGGCAGCUGUUAUAACAACUUGGAUGAAUUAUUAGAAACAUCAAAGAAAUUUUGACAUAAUUUAAACUGGGAAAAGGCUCACAAAUAACCAAUUUAUUCUACAGUAGAUACAGGAUAUUAAAUUGACUUCAACAACGCAGAUAUCUCUCAAAAAUGAUAUCUGUUCGAGUGAUAUGUACUGGGCGUUAACAGUUGCUGUUACAAAUCUGCAAAUGAGUUAGAACUAACUGUACAUAAGUUUGAUGAAUGCAGGAGGAAUUUUUUGAAUGGAAUAAUGAUACUGAAAAUCUUACCCACAAAUGACAAUUUCAAGAUACAAUCAAUAGUACUUAGUUUGAUUGGUCUUCAUUACCAAUACGCUAUGAAAAUGUGAGCCGAACAAAUUGAUGGUAAUGGACAUUUUGACAGCUGCUGUCACAACUCAACGAACAAGUUGCAGCUUUGAAGGAAAAUUUUUGAUUGGAUACAGACAAAUGUCAGUCGUUUCAGGAUGCAAAGUUAUAGAGCCAGGGUUGGGCUCCACAUCUGUUACCUUUUAAUAAUGGUAUAAGAUGGGACAAUUAUUGCUGUUAAAAAUCCACAAGCCGUACUAUUUGCAAAUAUUAUGGUGGACAGCCAAAAGCUUUAAAUGGAAUGAAACUUCCAGGAAAAGACUCGGAAAGACCAUUUAGGACUGUACUUAAUAGCUGUUAGUGUGUUGUCGCAGUCCUUCAACACUGAUAUCUCCGCAUUUUCUUAACAAUGGAUAUCAACAGUUUCUCCUACUCCUCACACUUUCCUCUUUCACUCAACAUAAAGCAGACUCAAUACUCCUCAAUGCCUCACCAAGGUUCGUUAGCUUCAUUAAUAGUGUUAUUGUUUCAAUAAA